Molecule: ribosomal RNA, 549 nt
Filed under: Stenotrophomonas sp. TK59
Lineage: Bacteria; Pseudomonadati; Pseudomonadota; Gammaproteobacteria; Lysobacterales; Lysobacteraceae
Description: bacterial SSU rRNA
Rfam family: Bacterial small subunit ribosomal RNA
Source: RNAcentral
AUUGGACAAUGGGCGCAAGCCUGAUCCAGCCAUACCGCGUGGGUGAAGAAGGCCUUCGGGUUGUAAAGCCCUUUUGUUGGGAAAGAAAUCCAGCCGGCUAAUACCUGGUUGGGAUGACGGUACCCAAAGAAUAAGCACCGGCUAACUUCGUGCCAGCAGCCGCGGUAAUACGAAGGGUGCAAGCGUUACUCGGAAUUACUGGGCGUAAAGCGUGCGUAGGUGGUUGUUUAAGUCUGUUGUGAAAGCCCUGGGCUCAACCUGGGAACUGCAGUGGAAACUGGACGACUAGAGUGUGGUAGAGGGUAGCGGAAUUCCUGGUGUAGCAGUGAAAUGCGUAGAGAUCAGGAGGAACAUCCAUGGCGAAGGCAGCUACCUGGACCAACACUGACACUGAGGCACGAAAGCGUGGGGAGCAAACAGGAUUAGAUACCCUGGUAGUCCACGCCCUAAACGAUGCGAACUGGAUGUUGGGUGCAAUUUGGCACGCAGUAUCGAAGCUAACGCGUUAAGUUCGCCGCCUGGGGAGUACGGUCGCAAGACUGAAACUCA